GAUAUAGCUUAGCAGUUAAAGUGCUUUGCCUUGCAAGCACAAGGACCUGAGUUCAAUCCCCAGUGUC
RNAcentral lists this transfer RNA (67 nucleotides) under Neotoma lepida (desert woodrat). It matches the Rfam family "tRNA". From Rfam's summary of the family: Transfer RNA (tRNA) molecules are approximately 80 nucleotides in length. Their secondary structure includes four short double-helical elements and three loops (D, anti-codon, and T loops). Lineage: Eukaryota; Metazoa; Chordata; Mammalia; Rodentia; Cricetidae. The record is from Rfam by way of RNAcentral.